Molecule: ribosomal RNA, 253 nt
Filed under: uncultured bacterium
Lineage: Bacteria
Description: partial 16S ribosomal RNA
Rfam family: Bacterial small subunit ribosomal RNA
Source: RNAcentral
UACGUAGGGGGCGAGCGUUGUCCGGAAUCAUUGGGCGUAAAGCGCGUGUAGGCGGCUCGAUAAGUCCGGUGUGAAAUCUUGGGGCUCAACCCCAAGCCUGCACUGGAUACUGUCGAGCUUGAGUCCGGGAGGGGAGAGCGGAAUUCCACGUGUAGCGGUGAAAUGCGUAGAGAUGUGGAGGAACACCGAUGGCGAAGGCAGCCUUCUGGGCCAACACUGACGCUCAUGCACGAAAGCGUGGGGAGCAAACAGG